GGCAUGGUGGCUUAGUGGUUAGCAUGUGUGCCUUGCACCUCCAGGGUUUGGGGUUCAAAUCCUGCCUCCACGCUG
Non-coding RNA from Ameiurus melas (black bullhead), 75 nucleotides. The record is from the annotation of a GenBank genome assembly. NCBI's taxonomy places the organism in Eukaryota, Metazoa, Chordata, Actinopteri, Siluriformes, Ictaluridae.